RNAcentral lists this ribosomal RNA (523 nucleotides) under uncultured crenarchaeote. RNAcentral describes it as "bacterial SSU rRNA". It matches the Rfam family "Archaeal small subunit ribosomal RNA", at positions 83 to 610 of the family's 1478-position model. The record is from RNAcentral. Lineage: Archaea; Thermoproteati; Thermoproteota.
CACGGCUCAGUAACACGUAGUCAACCUACCCUAGGGACGGGGAUAACCUCGGGAAACUGAGGCUAAACCCCGNNNNGCUAUAACUUCUGGAAUGGGUUAUAGCUGAAAUCUAUAUGGCCCUAGGAUGGGACUGCGGCCGAUCAGGUUGUUGGUGGGGUAAUGGCCCACCAAGCCUAUAACCGGUGCGGGCUCUGAGAGGAGGAGCCCGGAGAUGGGCACUGAGACAAGGGCCCAGGUCCUAUGGGGCGCAGCAGGCGCGAAACCUCCGCAAUGGGCGAAAGCCCGACGGGGUUAGUCCGAGUGACUCUUGCUGAAGGAGUCUUUUGCCAGCUGUAAAAAAGCUGGAGAAUAAGGGGUGGGCAAGUUUGGUGUCAGCCGCCGCGGUAAUACCAGCACCCCGAGUGGUCGGGACGAUUAUUGGGCCUAAAGCAUCCGUAGCCGGUCUAACAAGUCCCCCGUUAAAUCCAACGGCUCAACCGUUGGGCUGCGAGGGAUACUGUUAGACUAGGGGGCGGGAGAGGCG